This 402-nucleotide ribosomal RNA is filed under the name uncultured Rhodospirillum sp. RNAcentral's name for it is "partial 16S ribosomal RNA". It matches the Rfam family "Bacterial small subunit ribosomal RNA", at positions 355 to 774 of the family's 1533-position model. Lineage: Bacteria; Pseudomonadati; Pseudomonadota; Alphaproteobacteria; Rhodospirillales; Rhodospirillaceae. The record is from RNAcentral.
UGGGGAAUAUUGCGCAAUGGGGGCAACCCUGACGCAGCCAUGCCGCGUGAGUGAAGAAGGCCUUCGGGUUGUAAAGCUCUUUCAGGUGUGAAGAUGAUGACGGUAACACCAGAAGAAGCCCCGGCUAACUUCGUGCCAGCAGCCGCGGUAAUACGAAGGGGGCAAGCGUUGUUCGGAAUCACUGGGCGUAAAGAGCGCGUAGGCGGCUAGAUUAGUCAGGGGUGAAAUCCCGGGGCUCAACCCCGGAACUGCCUUUGAUACUGUUUAGCUAGAAUCCGUGAGAGGGUGGUGGAAUUCCCAGUGUAGAGGUGAAAUUCGUAGAUAUUGGGAGGAACACCAGUGGCGAAGGCGGCCACCUGGUGCGGUAUUGACGCUGAGGCGCGAAAGCGUGGGGAGCGAACA